Molecule: ribosomal RNA, 227 nt
Filed under: Vibrio parahaemolyticus
Lineage: Bacteria; Pseudomonadati; Pseudomonadota; Gammaproteobacteria; Vibrionales; Vibrionaceae
Description: partial 23S ribosomal RNA
Rfam family: Bacterial large subunit ribosomal RNA
Source: RNAcentral
ACAGGUGGUCAGGUAGAGAAUACUCAGGCGCUUGAGAGAACUCGGGUGAAGGAACUAGGCAAAAUGGUGCCGUAACUUCGGGAGAAGGCACGCUGGCGCUAGGUGAAGUGGUUUACCCAUGGAGCUGAAGCCAGUCGCAGAUACCAGCUGGCUGCAACUGUUUAUUAAAAACACAGCACUGUGCAAACACGAAAGUGGACGUAUACGGUGUGACGCCUGCCCGGUGC